This 845-nucleotide long non-coding RNA is filed under the name Chinchilla lanigera (long-tailed chinchilla). RNAcentral's name for it is "lncRNA (ENSCLAG00000027692.1)". The record is from RNAcentral. Lineage: Eukaryota; Metazoa; Chordata; Mammalia; Rodentia; Chinchillidae.
UAUUCCUCAGUUUACCCGCCCGGUCUGUUGGCUUGUUUUUUAAUGUUUACUUUUAUUUUGCAGUGCAGGGGAAUCCGAGCCAGGGCUUCCUGCGUCUAGGCAGGAGAGUGCUGCUGAGUGAAGUAACCAGGGAGGCACACUUAUUGUUUCUGCCAGCGCUUCCUUCGAGGACAGCUGCUUGAACCCAAGGCACUGUCAUUGCCCGCUGCAGGCUGAGAGGGUCUGAGGCUUGUGUGCAAUUCCAGAUAUUGAGCUAAAGCCGAGCAAUCGCUACCUAAGCAUCCGUUCUUCAUGCUGUCAGUGAAACCUGGGAAGAAGAAUUUUCUUCCCUCCUAAGGGAAGUGAGGACUCACCCUCACCGCCACUGCAGACCAUGGCAGUAAUGAGCCCGACAGACAGCGCCGCUGAACACACAGACAAAUGCUGAGCGAAUGCCAGGGCGGGGCUCGCAGCUACCCCUGUGUGCAGAGAAGACCAAACCCACUGCUCCAAGGCCAGAGGGCAAAGGUUCACCACACGACCUUGAAGAUCAAGGGGAUAAUAUUUACGGCGUUGAGCAGAGCAGAAGCACAGUACUCCAAGGCGUGUGCAGUGCUGGGGAUCAAACCCGGGGCUUCACGACACGCUCCACCACUGAGCCACACCGCGGCCUCCUCCCAGAUGCCUCCUGCCUGUCUCCGCCGGGACACACCCUGGACCCUGCACGGCCGUGUCCCAGUCAGAGCUCAGUGUUUCCCACCCGCAACCCACCUCGCUGCUUCUGCCCUUUGUCACCAUCCCUCCACUUAGCCAAGGCGAGACCUGGUGAGGGCUCUUCACACACAUCCGGCUCCCAAAUCCCGUGA